UGCCAGCCGCCGCGGUAAUACGGAGGGUGCAAACGUUGCUCGGAAUUAUUGGGCGUAAAGGGGAGGUAGGUGGUCUCGUUUGUCGGGUGUGAAAGCCCCAGGCUCAACCUGGGAACUGCGCCCGAAACGGCGAGACUAGAGUACUGGAGAGGAUAGUGGAAUUCCCGGUGUAGAGGUGAAAUUCGUAGAGAUCGGGAGGAACAUCUGAGGGGAAGGCGACUAUCUGGACAUGUACUGACACUAAACUCCGAAAGCAUGGGGAUCAAACAGGAUUAGAUA
RNAcentral lists this ribosomal RNA (279 nucleotides) under uncultured bacterium. RNAcentral describes it as "partial 16S ribosomal RNA". It matches the Rfam family "Bacterial small subunit ribosomal RNA", at positions 506 to 784 of the family's 1533-position model. The record is from RNAcentral.